CGGGACGUAGCGCAGACUGGUUAGCGCACUUGCAUGGGGUGCAAGGGGUCGCAGGUUCAAAUCCUGUCGUCCCGA
Molecule: transfer RNA, 75 nt
Filed under: Coxiella-like endosymbiont
Lineage: Bacteria; Pseudomonadati; Pseudomonadota; Gammaproteobacteria; Legionellales; Coxiellaceae
Description: tRNA-Pro
Rfam family: tRNA
About the family: Transfer RNA (tRNA) molecules are approximately 80 nucleotides in length. Their secondary structure includes four short double-helical elements and three loops (D, anti-codon, and T loops).
Source: RNAcentral